AUGGGAUGUCUCUUAAUGGGAUGGGAUCGGUGUUCUUGCCUCUUAGGUGACCACACCAGCAGUGUAGGGACAGGGGAAAUCUUGAAGGCAGAUGGUUGGGGUGGCAGGAGCACACACGAUGGGGAAGAGUGGUCAGGAAAAGCAGGCCCAAGGCUGAGGCGAAGGACCAGAUUGGUGCCAGCUACGCGGAAUAAAAGGCUCCCACUUUGGGGUUCUGAGUCUCCGGGCCUGCAGGCGGAGGCCCGCCAGCCCCAGGGUCUGGGGAUCGUGGGACCCGAGGCGCGUGCGGCAGCGCCCUCUGCCGGCCGCGCGGGGCAAGCCGCCAGUCAACGCAGCUCUGCAGGUGGGAUCCCUCCCGCUGCCUCCGCCCCGGCUCCAUCCCUUCAGAGGACCUCGCCGACUGGUCCUCGGCCGGAUUUCGGGAGGCGCAUCUCUAUCUGGCACCUGUGGACUCAUUAGAGAAGAUGCUCGGAAACAUCCGAUUCAUCCGAGAUCGGAGGCCGCGGGAAGCCACCCAAACCCCGCAGAGGCUGUGCCCCUGGGGGCCCGGGGCCACAGCCUGCUGGGCUGUCGGAGGUGGUUUGGAAGCAGCAUCGCCUUUGGCCAAGACCGCGGGGUCUGCGGACAGAGAGGAGCCCUGGGUUCGCUUUCUGCCUCAUCCAUUUUCCAGCUAGGUGACCUUGGGCAAGGUACUUACGUUUUCCGUGUGCCUUAAUUUCCUCAUCUUUAAGAUGGAGAAAAUGACCCCGACCUUGGCGGGUUAACCUGACGAUUACACGGGAUCAGACGGCCUGGGCUGAAAUUGUGGCACUGGACAUCAGCCAGCUGUGUGCCUGGGGCAAGUUACUUAACCUCUCUGUGCCCUGGUCCCUGCAAAAUAGGGAUAAUAACGGUACUUACCUCCGAGGAUUUGUUGCCUGCAAAGCGCUUAACACCGUGCCUGGCACAGAGUAAGCGCUCAAUAAAUGGUGGCUACUGUGGUUGUGGUCGUUAUUAUUGUUCCUAGGACCGCCGAGCACACGAGCAGAACUCUAGCUGGCGGCUCUUACUAGUCUUUCCUGGGUCCGGCUAUUUCUUUGCGGGCAUUGUUAAAAUCUUUUACCAGGUGCUAGCUGUCCUUAUCAGUGGCCGAAGGACAGCCGGCCUUCCAGAGUUUGGAAAAAUAGAGGUUCCCCUGGAGGAGGGCCAAGAACGCGGCCCGCGGGCUGCGAGGACUGGACCUCCCGCGAGGAUGCUCG
This 1238-nucleotide long non-coding RNA is filed under the name Capra hircus (goat). RNAcentral's name for it is "lncRNA (ENSCHIG00010016731.1)". The record is from RNAcentral. Lineage: Eukaryota; Metazoa; Chordata; Mammalia; Artiodactyla; Bovidae.